Molecule: ribosomal RNA, 678 nt
Filed under: Pantoea sp. EA_L_68
Lineage: Bacteria; Pseudomonadati; Pseudomonadota; Gammaproteobacteria; Enterobacterales; Erwiniaceae
Description: bacterial SSU rRNA
Rfam family: Bacterial small subunit ribosomal RNA
Source: RNAcentral
UGUUCUGGGCGGCAGCUACCAUGCAGUCGGACGGUAGCACAGAGAGCUUGCUCUUGGGUGACGAGUGGCGGACGGGUGAGUAAUGUCUGGGGAUCUGCCCGAUAGAGGGGGAUAACCACUGGAAACGGUGGCUAAUACCGCAUAACGUCGCAAGACCAAAGAGGGGGACCUUCGGGCCUCUCACUAUCGGAUGAACCCAGAUGGGAUUAGCUAGUAGGCGGGGUAAUGGCCCACCUAGGCGACGAUCCCUAGCUGGUCUGAGAGGAUGACCAGCCACACUGGAACUGAGACACGGUCCAGACUCCUACGGGAGGCAGCAGUGGGGAAUAUUGCACAAUGGGCGCAAGCCUGAUGCAGCCAUGCCGCGUGUAUGAAAAAGGCCUUCGGGUUGUAAAGUACUUUCAGCGGGGAGGAAGGCGAUGCGGUUAAUAACCCUGUCGAUUGACGUUACCCGCAGAAAAAGCACCGGCUAACUCCGUGCCAGCAGCCGCGGUAAUACGGAGGGUGCAAGCGUUAAUCGGAAUUACUGGGCGUAAAGCGCACGCAGGCGGUCUGUUAAGUCAGAUGUGAAAUCCCCGGGCUUAACCUGGGAACUGCAUUUGAAACUGGCAGGCUUGAGUCUUGUAGAGGGGGGUAGAAUUCCAGGUGUAUCGGUGAAAUGCGUAGAGAUCUGGAGGA